RNAcentral lists this ribosomal RNA (468 nucleotides) under uncultured bacterium. RNAcentral describes it as "partial 16S ribosomal RNA". It matches the Rfam family "Bacterial small subunit ribosomal RNA", at positions 28 to 507 of the family's 1533-position model. The record is from RNAcentral.
GACGAACGCUGGCGGCGUGCUUAACACAUGCAAGUCGAACGGAAAGGCCCUGCUUUUGUGGGGUGCUCGAGUGGCGAACGGGUGAGUAACACGUGAGUAACCUGCCCUUGACUUUGGGACAACUUCAGGAAACUGGGGCUAAUACCGGAUAGGAGCUCCUGCUGCAUGGUGGGGGUUGGAAAGUCUCGGCGGUUGGGGAUGGACUCGCGGCUUAUCAGCUUGUUGGUGGGGUAGUGGCUUACCAAGGCUUUGACGGGUAGCCGGCCUGAGAGGGUGACCGGCCACAUUGGGACUGAGAUACGGCCCAGACUCCUACGGGAGGCAGCAGUGGGGAAUAUUGCACAAUGGGCGGAAGCCUGAUGCAGCAACGCCGCGUGCGGGAUGACGGCCUUCGGGUUGUAAACCGCUUUCGCCUGUGACGAAGCGUGAGUGACUGUAAUGGGUAAAGAAGCACCGGCUAACUACGUG